GUACAGGAUGCUCAACUGGGCUUUGGUGGUUAUGGAUUCUGUCUGUGGUGACUCCAACUGCCCACCCCCAUUUCCAUUUCCAGGAAGUGGAGACCCUCUCUGCUUUCUUCCUGUGGCCUUGAACAUCUACAGAUAACAGCAGCUCAAUAACUAGACACUGAAGGGUGGGAAAAGCUGAAGAAGGCACUCUAGAAGCUGUGUGUCCACAUCUGAGGUGUCCACAGUCUUGCUAGGUUCCACUCUGGUGAAGACAUUAAAAGUUUGACAGUCUGGUGACAUCUACAAUGUUGACUCUUCAAAAAAGUUGAUUGUUUGUUGAUCUCUUCUUGUUGCUCCUUGAAAACAUGCAUUUAGAUCUGCAUGACUCUCCAUUCAGAGCCUACUAUCUUCUGGUAUUCAUAGUUGGACAACCUUAUGGAGAACAUGCCUCACCUACCUGAUGACAGAAGGAAGAACUCAUGGAACAGAACCACUACCUGAGCAAUGGAGAGACCAGUCAGGUCCCAGCCAAUAAUCAGUUGUACAAGUCAAAUAAAUAUUCCAUCUUGGCAUUUAAAAAA
This is a long non-coding RNA of Mesocricetus auratus (golden hamster), 560 nucleotides long. RefSeq lists it as uncharacterized. Lineage: Eukaryota; Metazoa; Chordata; Mammalia; Rodentia; Cricetidae. The transcript is spliced from 3 exons. The record is from RefSeq and is a predicted model, not a curated record.